UACGGGGGGUCCAAGCGUUGUUCGGAAUCACUGGGCGUAAAGCGCAUGUAGGUGGCUUUUCAAGUCAACUGUGAAAGCCCCGGGCCUAACCCGGGAAGUACAGUUGAUACUGCUAAGCUUGAGUACGAGAGAGGAUAGUGGAAUUCCUGGUGUAGUGGUGAAAUACGUAGAUAUCAGGAGGAACAUCGGUGGCGAAGGCGGCUAUCUGGCUCGAUACUGUCACUGAGAUGCGAAAGCGUGGGGAUCAAACAGG
This 253-nucleotide ribosomal RNA is filed under the name uncultured bacterium. RNAcentral describes it as "partial 16S ribosomal RNA". It matches the Rfam family "Bacterial small subunit ribosomal RNA", at positions 524 to 776 of the family's 1533-position model. The record is from RNAcentral.